UACGAAGGGGGCUAGCGUUGUUCGGAUUCAUUGGGCGUAAAGGGUGCGUAGGCGGCGCGGUAAGUCGGGUGUGAAAUCUCGGAGCUUAACUCCGAAACUGCAUUCGAUACUGCCGUGCUUGAGGACUGGAGAGGAGACUGGAAUUUACGGUGUAGCGGUGAAAUGCGUAGAUAUCGAGAGGAACACCUGCGGCGAAGGCGGGUUGCUGGGCUGAUACUGACGCUGAUGCGCGAAAGCUAGGGGAGCGAACGGG
This 253-nucleotide ribosomal RNA is filed under the name uncultured bacterium. Its description in RNAcentral is "partial 16S ribosomal RNA". It matches the Rfam family "Bacterial small subunit ribosomal RNA", at positions 524 to 776 of the family's 1533-position model. The record is from RNAcentral.